UCAGCUAACCGAAAAUUAUAAUAAAAUUCGAAUAAAAAACAUCAUUUAUACACUCUCAAGUUCAAAAUAUGACCAAAUUCGAACACAAAAUAUGAUUCAAACUUCAAAAUGGCAUAUCAGAACUCUCUUACUAGUAAUUAGGAUAUUCCAUCAUCACCUUCUUCUCUUCUAUGUUUCUAAAGGUCGGUUCUUCAAUCUUCAUUCCCCUGAUCCGAAAUUGAGAUUGUAAACAAUGUUAUCAUUCCCAUCAUCAGUCUCUUUAAGUAUUUCAAAGGUUGGCUGGUUACCUGGUAGAGCUAUGGGCUAAGGAGGGACCCGACGCGGGUUGCACCCUUGAACCAAACAGCCUUAAAUAUAUUCCAUCAUCAUCAUCAUCAGCAUCAUCAUCAUUAUCACCACCUUCCUCCAUCUCUCUCUCUAUAUUUUGUCCAAAGAGGUUUCAUUGUUUUUUCUCUUUGACAUUCCAAACCCCAAUAGGGCCAUGAACAUGGACUUAGACCACAACAACAACCACCUUCCGUUUUCCAAUCCAACAAUCAUCCCCAAAUCCUCCCCUUCAACCUCCGACACCGAUACCGAAGCCCCACCACCACCACCUCCGCCGCCCCCUCCAGCCCCACCCCUAAAAUGCCCUCCUCCCCCCCCCCCCCCCCCCCCCCCCCCCCCCCCCCCCCCCCCCCCCCCCCCCCCCCCCCCCCCCCCCCCCCCCCCCCCCCCCCCCCCCCCCCCCCCCCCCCCCCCCCCCCCCCCCCCCCCCCCCCCCCCCCCCCCCCCCCCCCCCCCCCCCCCCCCCCCCCCCCCCCCCCCCCCCCCCCCCCCCCCCCCCCCCCCCCCCCCCCCCCCCCCCCCCCCCCCCCCCCCCCCCCCCCCCCCCGCCCCCCCCCCCCCCCCCCCCCCCCCCCCCCCCCCCCCCCCCCCCCCCCCCCCCCGCAGCCCCCUCUCCCCCCCCCCCCCCC
RNAcentral lists this long non-coding RNA (956 nucleotides) under Linum usitatissimum (flax). RNAcentral describes it as "long non-coding RNA (LUSI_LNC008177)". The record is from RNAcentral. Lineage: Eukaryota; Viridiplantae; Streptophyta; Magnoliopsida; Malpighiales; Linaceae.